AUCAGUCAUGUGUUGAUACCUUGCCAAGAGUCAUCCUAGUGACUUUAGCCCUUUCUCUAUGAUCAUAACCCGACUUACAGUGCAAGGUGUUUUGUACUGGUUCCGCCUACUGCCCUCAUGGCCUUCGUCUCCUGCCUGAAAACACCCUUGCUGAACCAUGUGAGCCCUGCUGGCAACUUGAGCCGCUUGCGGACAUCAAUAUAUGUACCGCAGAACUCAUACAGUCCCCUUGCAUAACGAUCUUUCACCGCAUCGGUCCAGGGUCCAAAGCGGACCGGCUCGGGGUUCGGGCAACCUAGAGAAACAACCUCCGAGGUCCGACAGUUGAAAUCGCCCGCAAUCGACGCAUAAAUGAACACCUAUGACUCGCACUGCUUGCCUGACGUCGUCAGCACACACAAGUACCUACCAGAAGCGUUGGUGUUUGGAGUUAGGCGAAGGGGUUCGGGCCGAGCGUUCCAAGUCAGAGACCAGAACUUCCUCGCUAGAAGACACGGCAGAAAGCGGGAAAAGUGCAAAGGACUCGCCAUUGUUUGUUCAGCACGAUUGUCGGGUUGACACCGCCUGGUUCCUCCGUCCUCAGCUCUUUCCACAAUGCUUUUCAACUGGCUACAAAGUGUGCACGUACAGAACCCAACUACAGGUACUCGCACUUGAACAGGAGAACGAUACAAGUGCAAGUACUCGUACCGACCAAGUGACAUAUUCGUAUAGAUCUCUAGUCGUACUCUGUCUACAGACCGGGAGACUCAUCAAUUAGUUUGCUGUCGAUACAACUAUGGGUAGGAGUAGAAUGGAGAACCGCCUGGUCACCACUCCAUGGAACAUUUGUCGCAUCUACCGAUACAGAGACGCAGGUGGAACGCUAUCAACGUCAUCGUCGAUUCAGGGUUUUAGCCGCUUCAAUACCCGCUCUUACAGGUGUCUCGGAGCUACUGGUAGCAUCUCCGUGGAGACCUAGUUUGACCAUUGCUCAGAGCCCGAACUUAUGUCACGCUAAGAAUGAGGGCGGAGAUGAACAGACAGAAGAUCCCGUGGAAAAUAGAGUGCGCAGAUAGACAAUGUCUUAGAAUAUCGGACCCAGUGACUAUCGCCUCAGAUCUGAUCUUGUCUCAACCCACGGACUGAAAAACAACACAGUCAAACAGGACAUUGUAAGCACAUUGUAAGC
Molecule: unclassified non-coding RNA, 1171 nt
Filed under: Yarrowia lipolytica
Lineage: Eukaryota; Fungi; Ascomycota; Dipodascomycetes; Dipodascales
Source: RNAcentral